GGUGGGAGAGGUGGGCAGAGGGCAGUGAGGGGGGCUCCCGAGGACCCAGGGUGCCCUGAUAAGGGAUAUGGACUGGAUCCUGAGUGCAGUGGGGUUGUCACUGAAGGAUUUUAGAGGGGUCAGAUUUGUGUUCUAGAAAGAUCAUGUGGGCUGGUCUAUGCCAGUCUGCUUUAUUACUGUUUUCACAGGAUGGAGCUCAGUGUCUGGCACACAGUAGGUGCUCAAUAAAUGUUUUGAAUCAAUGCAGAAUGCCAGCAGUGUUCCCUGAGGCAGUGGUUAACUCCAGCUCAGGGACCUUGGGCCUCAGUUUCCUCAUCUGUAGAGCGAGGGGGGCAGCCCCUGCCUCGUGAGAGUGUCGUGAUGGUUAAGGGAGUAGCGCACAGGGGCCUUCGCUUCGUGUUCUGUGCGUGGUCAGUGCUCCAUAACUGGUGCCUUAUGAAGCGGGUGCCAGGUGUGCUGUGGGCAAGACGGAGGCGGGGCCCGGGCGAGGAGCGACUGAGUCGUCUUUGAAACAAGCUGAUGAAGAAGGCACUAUUGUCCCCCCUAUUUUAUCAUCCAGGUAACUGAGGCUCAGAGAGGUGAAGCAACUUGCCUGAGACCCCUCAGCAGGUGGGGAAACUGAGGCAAGGGGCGUCAAGUCUGGAAUGCCCAGAAUGGCUACAUCUCUAGAGACAGAGAGUAGGUUUCCUGGUGACCUGGCCCAAAUGGGUGGGAGACCUGGCCCUGCGGGUGGACGGGGGCUUCUGGCCGAGGAGACCUCUGAGGAGCGCCGCAUCCUUUUGCCUGGACAUCUUUGCCCCCAGGUGGAGAUCUCUCUACCUCGGGAUGCAGUGAGCCGCCAACCUGCAGUUUUUAGAGGCUUGCUGCCUUUGAUUUGGUGGGAGGGGCAGAAGGAGGAAUAACGGGGGAGAAAAAUGCCUCAACUGCUCUUCCUGAAGGAGCGAGACCCCCCGCCAACAGAUCACCCAGAAGCUUAGUCUCAGCCUCUCCCACAAGAGGGACCCGGGUGUCUGCUGGGAGUCCGGGAGGGCCGGAGGGUGCCAGGUGAAAGCCCACGUCUGGCGGUCCCCCUCCCUCCUGGCACCAAUGGUGGUCGCCAUCAGGCCGAUGCCCUGGGCUUCUGACUUCACAUCCCAGCUGAGAGUGGGAGGGCCGAACUGCCCUGGUGCCCAGGGCUGUGAGUGACCCAUGGCCUAGGCCGGGGAUGGGGUUGUGUGGAGAAGCUCCAGGGGCCCGCUGGGUGUGAGCGGGGAUGGGGGCAUCUGGAGAGGAGAGCAGGAGGCUGCCCCAGGCCUUCUGUGGCCACAGCCACCUCAGCCCUUCUGUAUAUGGUUCAUUCAGCUCCCCGCCUUCUGCCCCCUACCCUACAGGCCCCAGGCCUUGUCUCUCUGGUGGAGGAGGUCAGCAGGCAGACCCCCAGGACCUCUGUGGGGCCAGGCUCCCGUGAGGGAGGCAGAGCAGAUGAAUUAUCUCGGGAACCCGAGGCUCCGAGAGCAGGUCUUGCUGUGGUUCCCUCGCCCCCAUCAGGCACUUCUCCUGAGGGAGCCCACUCAGAGCCCCCUUCUUUCUGGCGCAGUUGUGAUACCCUGGUGCUGCGAUUGCCUAGACCAGAGCAGAAUAACAGGUCAUUAGAAGGUGCAGGGAUGGACAGAGGGAGGGUCCAGGAAGAGGGAAACAGUUGCUAAAACUUAAACAUUUGCUAAGAGGGUAGAUCUUAUGUUAAGUGUUCUUAUCACAAAACAAACAAAACACACGGUUGCUAAGUUGGCCUUGUUGAUGACAACAUUUGCAGACUGCUUUUAAGGGUGGACACAGAGCCACUCUUUAACCACAGGACACCCAGGGGCCCUGCGAGGCGGCUGCUUGUCAGAGGACCCGCGGAUGGCCUCCUGGCUCAGCGGCUGCUGUCGUGACUUGGUACAAGGGGAGGCUGCACUUGUAUAACACUUUGUUAAAGUGAACCAGGUCUAAAGAAAGAGCCAUGCCCAGGGGCCGGCCUGGUGGCAGAGCUGGUAAGUUCGCACGUUCCACUUCAGUGCAACGGUUUGGAUACCGGGUGCGCUUGGCACCGCUUGGCAAGCCAUGCUGUGGCAGGCGUCCCACGUAUAAAGUAGAGGAAGAUGAGCACGGAUGUUAGCUCAGGGCCAGUCUUCCUCAGCAAAAAGAGGAGGAUUGGCAGCAGAUGUUAGCUCAGGGCUGAUCUUCCUUAAAAGGAAAAAAAAAAAGAGUCUUGCCCAGAGAUGCCCAUUGACUAGUGAACAGCUGGCCACCAUCUUAGUGUGCAGCUGUGGGGGGCCUGUGAAAUGAAUUAUAGCGUGGUUCUAUGACAGAAUAUAACGCAGCCACCAGAAAUGAUGCUGAUGAGGAAUUUCAGUGACAUAGGAAUUGUUUUUGGUAUAAUCUUAAGUAAAAACCAGGAUAUAAAACAAUAUAUGCAUAUACAUAACUUCAGUACAAAACAAAAAGAAACAUAUAGCUCAAGUUCUUUUAAAGAUGUGUAGAAAAAAAUGGAAAGAAAACACAAAAAUCCUUAUCUUAGUUAUUUCUGGGUGGUGGGAUUUUGAGUGAUUUUUAAAGAUUUUUUAGUGCUUUGUGUUUUAUUGUAUUUCCAAAUUUCUGCAAUAAACACUUUCAAAUUUUAAAGUUACUGAAAUGGGGAUGUGGAGUGUCUCCUGUAUUUUAAGAAAGAGUCCCAUUUCUCUGGAAAAGCUUCUCGCGUGCACGUGGAAGAUCUUGGAGUGUAUUUUUAUGUUUUUCAGCCAGAGGUAAGGAGCUUGAGUCAGUUAGGAAUGCGUUUGACUACAAAUAGCAGAAAAUCCAGCUCACGUGGCGCGGGUUUCCUUUGGUCCCCUGUAACCGGAAGUCCCCAUGAGGCCAUCCAGGCAGCGGGCUGCUGUGACGCUGGGGCUGCUAAGACCUCCUGUUAGUCACCCUGAAACCAUCUCUCGAAAGCUCCCGUCCCCCAGGCCGUUUUUCAACAUGCUGGGACUGAGAACAUUUAUGCACCCCUGCCCCGCCCCAGCCUGGUGACAAGAAGAUAUCGGAGACCCUGUGCUCACUCAGGCCUGGUCUUUUAGGUUCCCCGUGGGGGCCCAGUGCAGGGCCUGCUGGAGGAGGCUUCAUGAGGAAGUGACCCGCCCGAGGUCACAUUGUUCCUUGGUUUGCUGAAUGACUAAAGAAUGAAUAAAGAUGGAUGGAGACAGGAUUAGAACCAGGCUCUCAGCUCUUUUCCCCACUCCAGUGACAAACUGCCAAGUCUAAACAUCUAACAUGGCACAUGUGGCCCUGGUAACCUGGCCCAGCUGACCUACUUAGCCUCAUCUCUCCCCACUGAACUGCUGUGGCUCACACACACCACAUUGGUUUUACUCUGUGCCUUUGCUUAUGCUGUUCCCUCUGCCUGGAAUGCCUUUCCCUGCUGCCCCCACCCUCUUUGGUCUAACUUCUACUCACCCUUUUAGAAUCAGCCCCAGUUUCCUGGAAGCCUCCCCCAGCCCCUGGCUGGGCUAGGGGUUCCUUUUCUGCACCCAUAGUACACCGUGCCUACUGCAUUUACUGCACUUAGUUCUGCUUUUCUGUGCACAUGCUGGACCCAGGUCCCCAGCCGGGAGCCCCUUGAGGGAGGACUGCGUCUGACUCACCUCACCCUCAACGCUGGCCCCAGGCUGGGCACGUUUGAGAAGGAGGUCACAGGACCUGGCACUGCCCCUGCUCCCACUCCAGAGGAGAGCCUUGACCGUGUCGUGCCCAUUUCCCUGUCCCAAAUGUGGGAGAGCUGGGCUUCACCAGAUCACUUCUGAGGACCCUGUGGCUGACAAGAUGGCCAGGGCUGGCAUAGGACAGCCUGUGUUGGGUGCCCAAGAUCAGAGGGGGCAAGGGACAUGGUCAGCACCCUCGGCCACCUGCAGCGCCUGGUGGCAGGGAUUGGGGUGGGUGUGGAGCAGAGGAGGUGGAGGCUAUGUUCUGGGCCUCAGCAGACCAGACCCCGCCACAGAGGCUGGCCAGGCGCCGCACAGCAGGGAGGGCGGCCCCCAGCGGUUAUCAAAGGCCAGCAGGGACCCUCCCUCAGAUGGUGACUGCAGGGAGGGAGAAGGGGUCUCCCUGGGGCUGCUGGCUCUGCCACAGCCACUGACAAGCUGGGCCAUCCAUCAGCCCUGAGCACAAUGGGGUCAUUAACCCCUGACCCCAGCCCCUUUCUAGCCAUUUCCUCUGGAGGGCUCCCCUCCCCAAGGCGAAGGGAGGGGGCGAUUCCUGUAUAACCUCCCUCUUCAAUGAGGGGCCCAGGAGCGACGGCCCCCUCGGCUGGCGGGGGACUCACAGCUCUACGGCCCUUCCGAAGUCUGAGGUCCCGCUCCUGCAGCUGCCAUCCUCUGCUGGUGCCUCUCACCCUCGGCCACCCACGGGAGCACCCCUCAAGCCACAGCAGUGUAUUUGGGGAGGGACAGAGAGGGGCCCUGAGAGACAGGGACAGGGACAGAGGCAUUCCGAGAGAGACGCUUAGACGCUUUAGAUCAGAGGUGGCUCUUCAGUUUACACAGGACAUUCAAAGGGACAUUAGAGACCAGUACUGCUUGUGAAAUUCCAUGCAAGAGCCCGAAAUAAAAUAUUAGCAAAACAAAUCCAGCAAUGAAUAAAAAGGACAUAUACAUGAUGACCAAAGUGGGUUUACCCUAGAAACGCAAGGGGGGGUUAGCGCUGGAAAGCCUAUGAGUGCCAUCCAUCGCGUUAAUAAAUUAAGGGAGCAAAGCCGUAUGAUUGUCUCAGCACUAGCACUAAAUGUCAACAUCUACUUAUGAUAAAAAUGUUUUCGCAAACUUGGGAUAGAAGGUAUGUCUGUAGACUCAUGAAGAUUAUCUACAAACACCAGCACACACGCAGGUCUUAAAGGAGCAGUGGACACAUUCUCUAGAAUCAGGGGUGUUUGCCCUCAUCCAUGCGUCUAUUCAGCAUCGUACCCAAGGCUCCAGCUGGGGCAGUAAGACAACGAAACAGCAGCAAGGGAGAAGGAUUGGAAAGGAAGAAGGAAAACUGGCAUUAUUUGAAGAUGAUAUGAUCGUCUACACAGAAAACCCCAAAUAAUCUACGAAUUACCAGAACUAUGAAAAAAAUCCAGCAGAGAUGAUACAGGAUACUCCCAUAUCAAAUCAAUAUCAAAAACUAAUUGCAGCCGCAACAUAUGGAUAAACUUGGAAAAUAUUAUGCUAAGUGAAAGAAGCCAGACACAGAAGGCCACAUGUUAUAGGAUUCCAUUUAUAGGAAAUCUCUAGAAUAGGCAGCUCCAUAGAGACAGAAAGUAGAUUAACGGUUGCCAGGGGCUGAGGAAGGAAAAAAUGAGGAGUGACUGCUCAUGGGUAAAGGUUUCUUUUUGGGGUGAUGAGAAUGUUCUGGAAUUAGAUAGUGGUGAUGGUUGUGCAAGCUUGUGAAUGCACUAAAACCCACUGAAUUGUACACUUUAAAGGGGUGAAUUUUAUAUGGGUAAAUUAUGUCUCAAUAAAAAGUAACUGCAUUUAUAAAUAUCAGAG
This is a long non-coding RNA of Equus caballus (horse), 5522 nucleotides long. The record is from Ensembl. NCBI's taxonomy places the organism in Eukaryota, Metazoa, Chordata, Mammalia, Perissodactyla, Equidae.